Molecule: non-coding RNA, 208 nt
Organism: Pelobates cultripes (western spadefoot toad)
Lineage: Eukaryota; Metazoa; Chordata; Amphibia; Anura; Pelobatidae
Source: the annotation of a GenBank genome assembly
UGUGCCAGCCCCAAACCGCAUUGCCCCCAAUACCAGUCAGGGUGCUAUGUCAGGAUCACUGUGUCAUCUCACUCACUGUGCAAACAGAUAUCCCAGAGCACUUCCCACUAAUUUAAUUUGCAGUAGAAUGAUUUGAGACUGCCCAAUUCCACCCUAUGCCAGCUCUCCCAUGCAGUGCAGACUAUAAAUCUAUUUUCUCUCUGAUCUC